This 182-nucleotide unclassified non-coding RNA is filed under the name uncultured fungus. RNAcentral's name for it is "sequence contains ITS1, 5.8S rRNA gene". Lineage: Eukaryota; Fungi. The record is from RNAcentral.
UUGAAUAUUUGAAGAGGUUGUUGCUGGUCCCUAGCGGGAUAUUGUGCACGCCUCGUUCAAAAAUCCAACCUUUACACCCCUGUGCAUCAUUUGUAGGGUCGCGGCCUUCGGGCUUGCGCUCUAUGUUUAUCACAAACUCUGUAGUAUGUGUAGAAUGACAUCGCGUAUAACGCAUCUAUAUA